UACGUAGGGGGCUAGCGUUGUCCGGAUUUAUUGGGCGUAAAGAGCGUGUAGGCGGCCAGGUAGGUCUGGUGUGAAAACUCGAGGCUUAACCUCGAGAUGUCAUCGGAAACCAUUUGGCUAGAGUCCGGAAGAGGAGAGUGGAAUUCCUGGUGUAGCGGUGAAAUGCGCAGAUAUCAGGAAGAACACCAAUGGCGAAAGCAGCUCUCUGGGC
RNAcentral lists this ribosomal RNA (211 nucleotides) under uncultured bacterium. RNAcentral describes it as "partial 16S ribosomal RNA". It matches the Rfam family "Bacterial small subunit ribosomal RNA", at positions 524 to 734 of the family's 1533-position model. The record is from RNAcentral.